RNAcentral lists this ribosomal RNA (432 nucleotides) under uncultured bacterium. Its description in RNAcentral is "partial 16S ribosomal RNA". It matches the Rfam family "Bacterial small subunit ribosomal RNA", at positions 29 to 506 of the family's 1533-position model. The record is from RNAcentral.
AACGAACGCUGGCGGCAUGCCUAACACAUGCAAGUCGAACGAGACCUUCGGGUCUAGUGGCGCACGGGUGCGUAACGCGUGGGAACCUGCCCUUAGGUUCGGAAUAACUCCCCGAAAGGGGUGCUAAUACCGGAUAAUGUCUUCGGACCAAAGAUUUAUCGCCUUUGGAUGGGCCCGCGUUGGAUUAGCUAGUUGGUAGGGUAAAAGCCUACCAAGGCGACGAUCCAUAGCUGGUCUGAGAGGAUGAUCAGCCACACUGGGACUGAGACACGGCCCAGACCCCUACGGGAGGCAGCAGGGGGGAAUAUUGGACAAUGGGCGAAAGCCUGAUUCAGCAAUGCCGGGGGAGUGAUGAAGGCCUUAGGGUUGUAAAGCUCUUUUACCCGGGAUGAUAAUGACAGUACCGGGAGAAUAAGCCCCGGCUAACCCCGU